RNA transcript from Chrysoperla carnea, 6356 nucleotides. It is a transcript of the gene named contactin-associated protein-like 2, with no coding region annotated. The record is from RefSeq and is a predicted model, not a curated record. The transcript has 16 exons. NCBI's taxonomy places the organism in Eukaryota, Metazoa, Arthropoda, Insecta, Neuroptera, Chrysopidae.
UCUAGGAGAAAAUGCAAAAAUAUCUUCCAUUAACAAAAUGGAUAAUAUACAAACAAGAAACUUCAUACGUAAUUCGAAUAUUAUUUACAUUUUUAAUAAUAACAAAUGUAUUAAUUAUAUGCCAUGCAUAUCCAUUUACCGAAAGCAAUCCAUUAGAUCGAUGUACUGGUACAGCUGAUAUUGGUGAUUGUACAGGUUUUGUACAUAAAUGGUAUUUUAAUAAUACAGCAAAAAAGUGUCAAACAUUUAUUUAUGGUGGUUGUGGUGGAAAUAUAUUGAAUCGUUUUGAUUCCGAAAUUGAAUGUUUACAUUAUUGUGUUAGUGAAGAUCAUACACUACCUCCAGCAUUAACAUCGACGCCAUUUGAUGAGAAAAACUACUUCACAUUGAGUUCAAACACAACUCAAACUAAAGGUAUAUACAGCAGUCCAAUACCACCGAACGAACGUGGAAAAGAAUUAACAUUCCAAGAAACUGGUAAACAUAAGACGUUUAUGUUUGCUGAAUCGAAUACUUUUAUUCAAUUAGAUGGUGAUAUUAUACAAACGUUUCAAUUGAGACUUUGCCGAGAAAUAUCUUUCGAAUUUCGAACUAGACUUCCACAUGGACUUCUAGUCUAUCAUAAUGUUAAAGUACCAAAUGGUAUUAAAUUAGAACCAUACGCUUUAUACGUAAUUGUACAAAAAGGUCAACUAAAAGUUGUUCAUGUAUUUGGACGACAUUUGACUGCACUCACUGUUGGUCGAGGUUUAAAUCGCAAUGAAUGGCAUUCUGUUACUGUUCGAAUUGAUGUACAUUUAGCCAAAUUAAUUGCUGUUGUCGAUAAUAUUAAGGACGAAGUGAGCAUAAAAGGACUGCACGAGGAAAAUAAUUAUGGAAUCUCAGAAAGUUUACCGUCAGUGGUUCUUAUCGGUGGCUUAAGUUCUGAAGAAAAAUUACAUGGCGUCAAAUAUAUAAUUGAAUCGUUUGUUGGAUGUAUACGAAAUAUGGUGCUAAGUGCUGGCAAAGCGGCAUCGGAUUUAAUAACAAUUCAACCAUUAAUUGCCACAAAGCAUGAAAACGUUAAAGAAGGAUGCACAAACUUAUGUUAUACGGAUAAAAAUUUAUGUUUUGUGGGAUCUCAUUGUAUAAAUCAUUAUAAUACUUACACGUGUGAUUGUUUUGGAACGCAUUAUGAGGGCGAACAGUGUGAUAUUUACACUGCCACAGUAUUAACUCUUCGGGGAUCAUCAUAUGUCUCAUAUCGUGUAUACGAUUGGAAAGAUCGUGUACAUUCAGCCAAUAAUCGAAUAUCUUUAUUAUUUAAAACACGUUUCGAUGACUCAGCCUUAUUUUAUGCAAGUGGCGAAAUAGAUGGAAUUCACCAUUAUAUUGCUGCAUCAAUCAAAAAUCACAUUGUCCGCUUAGAAUUUGAUUUUGGCGAAGGCGUCAUUAAAUCAGAGUUAGGAACACACGUCACUAUAAACGAUUGGAAUAACUUAACAAUUGUACACGAUCAUAAAUCAUUGCGAGUUUCAUUAAAUAAACAAGUAAAAUUGUUAGAUAUUCCUGGAAAUAUGUAUCACUUAUAUAUCGAUCCAGAGAUUUACAUUGGCGGUGGACCUGAGUUGCAAAGUAAAAAAGCUCUAGGAACACAGAAUAAUUUUGUUGGUAGUUUAAAAUAUGUGUUUUUUAACGAUAUCUCGAUUAUAUACGAAUUGAAAAAACAAAAUCCUAAAGUUCAUUACAUCGGAGUACUCGAACCAGAGUUGGAAGAUAUUGACGUAGAUGUAAUUCCUAUAACCUAUCCAUUUGCAAGUUCUCAUAUUUGGUGGCCCAAUAAUCAAACAGACUCGUUAAGUUUAACAUUUGAUUUUAAAAGUAGUCGGAGCUUAGCUGUACUGGCCUCUAGUGAUGUAACAACUGAGAGUGGAUUAGGAUAUUGGGAAAUUCGUGCAGUAAAUGAUGAAAUUCGUUUUGAACUAGUCCCAGAUGCAGGAAAAAAUAUUACACAUUUAACAAGUGUAAAAUAUGAACCAGAUCCAUCAUCGUGGCAUAUUGUUGAAGUGAGUUAUUCCGCUGGUGAACUCAAAUUAACCGUUGAUUUUCGUACAAUUCGUGCACAAUUAUUUGGUCUAAAAUUUCAAUUAGGUGAUAAAGUUAUAGUAGGAAGUGGACUUCGAGGAAAUGCUCCAGCUGGUUUGAUUGGAUGUAUGAGAAAGGUUACUGUAAAUGGUGCAUUUUUAGAACCUAGAUAUGUUGUACAAACUGAACGAUUAGUUGGUGAAGUAGCACUUGACGAUUGUCGUUUUAUUGACCCUUGCCAUCGACCGAAUACUUGUGAACACGGUGGGAAAUGUUCUGUUAAAGAAGAUCAUUUAACAUGUGAUUGUAAAGGUACUGGAUACAUAGGUAAAAAUUGCCACUUUGCUGAAUUUCGUAAAACUUGCGAAGAAUUAGCUCUAUUAGGGUACACAAAACCUGAUGUGUAUCUAAUAGAUAUUGAUGGGAAUGGUCGAUUUCCUCCAGCACAUGUCCGAUGUGAAUUUCAAAGUUUGGAAGAUUCGACAAAAACUAUUGUUGAGCAUAAUUUACCGAGUCAAGUAGAUGUUCGAUCUGCCGGUGAAGAUGAUUUCAGUUUUAACAUCAAGUAUCGAGAAUUCACAGCAGAAAUGUUGCAAGAAUUAAUUUCGCAUUCAUUAUAUUGCAGUCAAUAUAUAAAAUAUGAUUGCUAUAAAGCACCGUUAGAACUACAUUCAGCAACGUGGUUUAUUAGUUCUUUUAAUAACUUUACUGUUGACCAAAUUGGUGACUCCAAACGGGGCACUUGUCCAUGCGCUGUAAAUAAAACAUGUGAAAAUCCUUCUGAAUGGUGUAAUUGCGAUAUAACUGAAGGAAAAUGGAACUCAGAUGAAGGUUAUUAUACUUCUCAGAAAAGUUUAGGCAUUACUCAAAUGAUAUUCUUACAACAAUCUGACUUGGAAGAAGAUGCUCAAGGUCGCAUAACUCUUGGACCUCUUGAAUGCGUAGAAACAAAUACUCAGAAAUAUGUGGUUACGUUUACUACAAGUCAAUCAUACAUUGAAGUUCCUGGGUGGAGGAAAGGUGACUUGGCAUUUUCAUUUAGAACCACUGGCGAAAAAGCUAUUUUACUGUAUCAACCACCGAUUCGACCAAAUUAUCCAAGUUUUAUGGUGGCAUUAACAAGCGAUUAUCAGUUAAUGUUCAAUUUCACCUUAAACACAGGAACAUCUCGUGGUUUGGUAAUUAAAUCUGGCAGAAAAUUAAACGAAGGCGAAUGGCAUAAAUUAUGGAUUGAUUAUAACCAAUACCACGUACGAUUUAUGAUUAAUACUGAUUAUGAAAUGGUAGAUUUACAACCAGAAGAAGAGUUUGGUCCAUUUGAAGGUAGUAUGUUUAUUGGUGGAGCCCCAUCUGAUUUAUUAAAAAAAUCUUCUGUAACUCAAGGUUUAAUUGGAUGUUUUCGGGGUCUUGUUGUAAAUGGGGAAAUUUUAGACAUAUAUAGUUAUAUGAGUGUGCACUUAAGUGAAAUUAUAAAAGAUUGCAAGCCAAGUUGUGUACCAAAUCCAUGUAAAAAUGGUGCAAGGUGUAAAGAAUUAUGGAGUACAUUCCAAUGUGUGUGUGAAAAUCCAUGGGCACAUUUAGGAACACACUGUGAGACAAAUAUAAACAUAAAUGCAUUAACAUUUAUAUCACCAGAAGCAUAUUUAAAAAAUAAUUAUUUAACAAAUCAAACCAGUGACGAUAAAACAUUAUUUAAAAGUAUUUUAUACGAACGUAUAUUGGUUAACUUACGUACAUAUGAUAAUACAUCUUUGGUACUGUAUGCUAAUGAUCAUAUCAAUAAUUUUGUACAUAUUUACAUCAAUAAUGGUACUGAAUUAAUAUAUUUAUUUAAUUAUGGUAAUGAAAUUAAAAAUAUAACGAUUGAUUAUCCAAAAUUAAACAGUGGUGAAACGGUUCAAAUCGCAAUUAUACGUAAUGAGAAUUCAACGAUUUUACAUGUGAACGAUUAUAAUCGGACAGUACCAUUUGGAGUUCUGUUAUUGGAAGAAUAUUCGAAUAAACCAUGGAUUAACUCUGAAAAAGAAGUACUAGCGCCUCCAAGACCACCAGCUCCUCCAACCGAUUACUUCCAAUUAAAUCUAGGGGGAUAUGAUCAACACAGCCUCUUAAAAAUGGCUGCAGCACCCGAAAAUUUCCCAGGAUACGUUGGUUGUAUACGAGGUUUUCAAAUUGGCCAAACACUAAUUGAUUUGCCAACAAAAGCAAUAGAAAAUGUACAAAUUGACACAAAAGGUGUAAUCCCACAUUGCCAGAUGAAAUGUGAUGCAACUCCGUGUAAACAUCAAGGAAUAUGUGUGGAAGAUUUUCGCCGGCAAGAGCAUACAUGCUUGUGUGAACAUACAAGUUAUUAUGGUGAAUUUUGUGACGAAGAAAAGGGUGCUGAUUUCAAUGGGGAAUCUAUGUUGCAACGAAAAUUCGUUUUGAAAGGAGAAGUACAUGAAGUUAAAGUUCAAUUAGCGUUUUCCAGUAACGAUUUACGAAAACGGUAUACUGUGUUAUUGUUACUUCAAACUGAAAAUAUUCGAAGUUAUUACUUAUUGGUUGCUUUGACUCCUGAAGGUCAUUUAAUAUUUGAAGAAGAUAGAGAAGGGUCUGCAUUUGGUACAAGAAUUUCAGACCGCGAUUUCUUAAACGGAGCAAGACAUUCUGUGUACUAUAAACGUGUGAAUGAUACGGCUGAACUACGAAUUGAUCGACAAUUUAUACCUUUAAGUAAAAUCCCCGUGCUUGGAUUGAGUGAAGUACCUGAUAUUGGAUCAGAUGAAGUGCAGAUAGGAGGUCUAAAUACAACAGAUCCAAGAUUUGCGAUUUAUAAAGGGUAUAAUGGAUGUUUAUCGAAUGUUUUUGUUUUGGUGAAUGGUUUAAGUAUGAAACCACUAGAAGAAUAUAUGAUGUUUAAAAAAAUUGAUGCGGAAAAAGUAAAUGUUACAAAUUCGCAAGGAGUUCGAAGUGCUCAAUGUAAUGAUCAUUUCGAUAUAAUACACAAAGUACCCGCAGGUCCAACUUUAAACAUUAGUCAUGGUUUGGAUAAAGCAUGGGUUGAAGACCCACCAGCUAGAAUGCCUUAUCGAAAUAUUUAUGCCGAUGCCUCAAUAGAAAAAGAUGAAACUGGUACUGCAAUAUUUAUUGCUUUAACAACUUUCUUUGUUGUAAUUGUUCUUGGAAGUAUUUAUGAAGUUUAUCGUUCUGAUCGACAAUAUCGGAGGCGUCAGGGAAUGGAAAUCGAUGCAAGUAUUAUUCAAUCGAAACAACAAGCAGCAAAGCAAAUGCAAAAUGUCGCAUUUGCUAAAUCAGAUGAUGAUAUCCCACCUAAACCAACUCCUAUUCCAAAUGGAAUCAGCAAAAAUGGUGGAGUUUUAUCCAACAACACAGCUCAAUUUAUACCUAUACCUACUUCAGAAUCACAAAUUAAGGAACGACCUACUGAAAAACAUGCUACAUUUAAAGAUGACAUUCAAGAAAAAGAAUUAGCAUGGGAACCAGAUGAAGAGAAAACUGAGCUUUUAAAUGAAGAUGAAAUGGACUUUUCGCCGCCUCCAUCAAGAGUGGUACAACCUACAAUUAUACCAACCACUGGUCCUCGCUCAAAAGUGAAAGCUCCGCCACCUCAUAAAAAUCCUUUAGCUACUCAAUUACCAUAUAAAAUUGAUGAAACCGGACUUGAAUAUUCAACAUCGGCUCCGGCCUGAUGAAAUCGACAACAACAGGACAAGAAGGGAAAUGGUAUUGAAAUAUUUCCUACUAUUCCAGAAAAUGAAAUUUUAGAUAAGCCAGAACGACCAAUCAGUGCCAUAAUUCGUACAACAUUAUCACCUAUUUUUCUAAGCGAAGAACAAAGGACAUAUAAUAAUCCACUUAGUUAUAUAGGGGGUCCACAACUAUCCUUACGUCCUCAAAGUAGUCUUGAAAGUGUCUUAUCUUUGGAUUGAUUCGACAAUCUGUGAUUUUAAGCAAGAGGGCCUUAUAAUUUAUAUAUACUCACAAGUAACUUGCGUUCCCAAUAUAUACCAGUAUAAAAAUAUGUCAGUUGAUUGGAUAAUUAAAUAUUCAAUUCCCUGCCGCUGUUUUAUACUGUCCAGCAUCUGGUAUCACGGACUUAUAGGCAUCACAAUCUUUAAGGUUUCUGAUGUCUGUGACUGGUAUGUUUUUUGGAUUGCAAGUUUAGUCUAGAUUUAAGUAUAUAUCCAGUAUUGUAGCAAUAAUAUUUUAUACUUGAUUCUAUCCGAAUGAUUUCAGUCGGAUAGGAUUAAUGUUCAUUUGACGAAAUUGAUAAUUUAAAAGUAGUUUUA